Molecule: transfer RNA, 72 nt
Filed under: Camelus bactrianus (Bactrian camel)
Lineage: Eukaryota; Metazoa; Chordata; Mammalia; Artiodactyla; Camelidae
Also listed under: 1 other name
Rfam family: tRNA
About the family: Transfer RNA (tRNA) molecules are approximately 80 nucleotides in length. Their secondary structure includes four short double-helical elements and three loops (D, anti-codon, and T loops).
Source: Rfam by way of RNAcentral
CAGGGUAUAGCUCAGUGGUAGGGAGCGUGCUUAGUGUGCAUGAGGUCCUGGGUUCAAUCCCCAGUACCUCAA